CGGAGUCCGCCUCGCGGUCCAGCGUCGUGGAUCCGAGUCGUGGAUCGGAGCCGGGGUCCGGA
RNAcentral lists this microRNA precursor (62 nucleotides) under Canis lupus familiaris (dog). RNAcentral's name for it is "Cfa-Mir-8859-P2_pre stem-loop". Lineage: Eukaryota; Metazoa; Chordata; Mammalia; Carnivora; Canidae. The record is from RNAcentral.